CACCCUGACCUCUAACUACUGAUCACCCUGGCCACUGAUCACCCUGGCUACUGAUCACCCUGACCACAGAACUACUGAUCACCCUGACCUCAGAACGACUGAUCAUCCCGGCCGCCGAACUACCGAUCACCCUGGCCUCCGAACUAUUGAUCACCCUGACCUCAGAACUACCUACCAUCCUGACCACAGACCUACCGACCAUCCUGACCUCUGAACUACCGAUCACCCUGGCCCCUGAAAUACCGAUCACCCUGACCAUAGAACUAUUGAUCACCCUGACCACAGAACUACCGAUCAUCCUGACCCGGAAUUACCGAUCACCCGACCCCCGGAACUACCGAUCACCCCGACCUCAGAACUACCGAUCACCCUGACCUCUGAACUACCGAUCACCCUGACCUCUAACUACUGAUCACCCUGGCCACAGAACUAUUGAUCACCCUGGCCACAGAACUACUGAUCACCCUGCCCUCUGAACUACUGAUCACCCUGACCUCUGAACUACUGAUCACACUGGCCACAUAACUAUUGAUCACCCUGACCACAGAACUACUGAUCAUCCUGACCACAGAACUACUGAUCACCCUGGCCAGACUUGACCUCAGAACUACCUAUCAUCCUGACCACAGAACUACCGAUCACCCUGACCUCAGAACUACCUAUCAUCCUGACCACAGAACCACCGAUCACCCCGACCUCAGAACUACCGAUCACCCUGACCUCUAACUACUGAUCACCCUGGCCACAGAACUAUUGAUCACCCUGGCCACAGAACUACUGAUCACCCUGCCCUCUGAACUACUGAUCACCCUGACCUCUAACUACUGAUCACCCUGACCACUGAUCACCCUGACCUCUGAACUACUGAUCACCCUGGCCACAGAACUACUGAUCACCCUGGCCACAGAACUAUUGAUCACCCUGCUCUCUGAACUAUUGAUCACCCUGCUCUCUGAACUACUGAUCACCCUGGCCACUGGUCACCCUGACCUCUGAACUACUGAUCACCCAGGCCACAGAACUAUUGAUCACCCUGCCCCCUGAACUACUGAUCACCCUGCCCUCUGAACUACUGAUCACCCUGCCCUCUGAACUACUGAUCACCCUGCCCUCUGAACUACUGAUCACCCUGCCCUCUGAACUACUGAUCACCCUGGCCACUGAUCACCCUGGGCUACUGAUCACCCUGCCCUCUGAACUACUGAUCACCCUGCCCUCUGAACUACUGAUCACCCUGGCCACUGAUCACCCUGCCCUCUGAACUACUGAUCACCCUGCCCUCUGAACUACUGAUCACCCUGGCCACUGAUCACCCUGCCCUCUGAACUACUGAUCACCCUGCCCUCUGAACUACUGAUCACCCUGGCCACUGAUCACCCUGGCUACUGAUCACCCUGCCCCUGAACUACUGAUCACCCUGGCCACUGAUCACCCUGGCUACUGAUCACCCUGCCCUCUGAACUACUGAUCACCCUGCCCUCUGAACUACUGAUCACCCUGCCCUCUGAACUACUGAUCACCCUGCCCUCUGAACUACUGAUCCUCCCCAUUACAACUUAAAAACUGAACUAAAUAGCUUUUAUUUAAAUGUUUACAAACAAUACCAAAUGUUAACACCUCAUUUAAAACUUAUGGGACAAUUACUCUGUCAGUUAGCAUUUACAAUAUACACGGAGUGCACAAAACAUUAGGAACGCCUGCUCUUUCCUAAACACAGACUGACCAGGUGAAUCCAGGUGAAAGAUAUGAUCCCUUAUUGAUGUCACCUGUUAAAUCCACUUCAAUCAGUGUAGAUGAAGGGGAGGAGACGGGUUAAAGAAUGGCAAUUGAGACAUGGAUUGUGUGUGUCAUUCAGAGGGUGAAUGGACAAGACUAAAUGUUUAAGUGUCUGAACUGUGUAUGGUGGUAGGUGCCAGGUGUACUGGUUUGUGUUAAGAACGGCAACGCUGCUGGGUUUUUCACAUUCAACAGUUUCUCUGUGUGUAUCAAUAAUGAUCCAUCACCCAAAGGACAUCAAGCCAACUUGACACAACUGUGGGAAGCAUUGGAGUCAACAUGGGCCAGUAUCCCUGUGACAACAUGGGCCAGCAUCCCUGUGACAACAUGGGCCAGCAUCCCUGUGACAACAUGGGCCAGCAUCCCUGAUGAACACAUUUGAUAUCUUGUAGAGUCCCUGCCCCGACAAAUUGAGGCUGUUCUGAGGGAAAAAAGGGGUGAAACUAAUGUUUUGUGUAUACAGUAUAUAUAUAUAUAUAUGUGUGAUUAAUAAGUGAUUAAUGAAAACAGAAUAUUUGCAUACAGGAUUUGUUGUCCUAGAUCAUUAAUUAAUUGGAAGAUAGUUUGUCCUAAAAAUCUACUGUUUCAACAUAUAUAGUUAUAGACUACACCUAAUAUACAAUACAAGAGGCAUUUGAAUUUCACUGAAUUCAAUUCUAUUUCCUUUCAUUCAAAUUCAAAUUUCAAUUCUGUAUUCUGUUUACUACUUCAAUUCAAAUUCAAGAAGUAUUCUUAACUCAAGUCUGAAUUGAGCCCAACGCUGACAGACAGACAGACAGUGAUGUUAUCUAUUGAUCAUGUCCACUUUGAGUUGUAGUGAACUGAUGGGGUCUUGACAGACGGGGUCUUGACAGACAGACAGACGGUGAUGUUAUCUAUUGAUCAUGUCCACUCUGAGUCGUAGUGAACUGAUGGGGUUUUGACAGACAGACAGACAGACAGACAGACAGACGGUGAUACAGACAGACAGACGGUGAUGUUAUCUAUUGAUCAUGUCCACUCUGAGUCGUAGUGAACUGAUGGGGUCUUGACAGACAGACAGACAGACAGAGACAGACAGACUGACAGACAGACGGUGAUGUUAUCUAUUGAUCAUGUCCACUCUGAGUCGUAGUGAACUGAUGGGGUCUUGACAGACAGACAGACAGACAGACAGAGACAGACAGACAGACAGACGGUGAUGUUAUCUAUUGAUCAUGUCCACUCUGAGUCGUAGUGAACUGAUGGGGUCUUGACAGAACACAGACAGGUAUUCCACCACCCCAGAGUUCUGUCUCCUCUCGUCCUGCCGUGCUUGCUGCUGCUCCUUCUCCCACCUCUCCUUCUCCCCGUCCAUCUGGGCCAGAACACUCACCUGGACCGACCUCACCGUGGCGGCCAGCAGGAACAGUACCCCCUGUAGGAUGUGACAGACUACUGCACAUAGACUGAGCCCGGCUCCCAGCAGGUCCGGUACCGCUUCACAUAUCACACACACCCCCUCAAGGAGAAGAGGAGACGCCCGGCCAGCGGAGGUGGGGCCAUGGUUUACCAGGUGACAGACGAAGCGGGCAAGGUGCAGUGCGGCGCGCCGCAGUGGGAGCACGGCCAGGUACAGGUGGCACGCUGCUUUGGUGAGGGCGUGGAGGAGGAGCCGCAGCUCCAGGACGGCGUUGCCUGGAGAUAGGAGAUAAAGG
This is a long non-coding RNA of Oncorhynchus tshawytscha (Chinook salmon), 3452 nucleotides long. NCBI's taxonomy places the organism in Eukaryota, Metazoa, Chordata, Actinopteri, Salmoniformes, Salmonidae. The record is from Ensembl.